CCUACGGGUGGCAGCAGUGGGGAAUAUUGCACAAUGGGCGAAAGCCUGAUGCAGCAACGCCGCGUGAAGGAAGAAGGGUUUCGGCUCGUAAACUUCUAUCAACAGGGACGAAAGAAAUGACGGUACCUGAAUAAGAAGCCCCGGCUAACUACGUGCCAGCAGCCGCGGUAAUACGUAGGGGGCAAGCGUUAUCCGGAAUUACUGGGUGUAAAGGGUGAGUAGGCGGCAUGGUAAGCCAGAUGUGAAAGCCUUGGGCUUAACCGGAGGAUUGCAUUUGGAACUAUCAAGCUAGAGUACAGGUAGGGAAGGCGGAAUUCAUGGUGUAGCGGGGAAAUGCGUAGAUAGUAGGAGGAACACCGGUGGCGAAGGCGGCUUUCUGGACUGAAACUGACGCUGAGGCACGAAAGCGUGGGGAGCAAACAGGAUUAGAUACCCCGGUAGUC
This 443-nucleotide ribosomal RNA is filed under the name uncultured bacterium. RNAcentral's name for it is "partial 16S ribosomal RNA". It matches the Rfam family "Bacterial small subunit ribosomal RNA", at positions 338 to 795 of the family's 1533-position model. The record is from RNAcentral.